GACGAACGCUGGCGGCGUGCUUAACACAUGCAAGUCAAUCGGUAAGGCCCUUCGGGGUACACGAGUGGCGAACGGGUGAGUAACACGUGGGUGAUCUGCCCUGCACUUCGGGAUAAGCCUGGGAAACUGGGUCUAAUACCGGAUAGGACCACUGCCUGCAUGGGUGGUGGUGGAAAGCUUUUGCGGUGUGGGAUGGGCCCGCGGCCUAUCAGCUUGUUGGUGGGGUGAUGGCCUACCAAGGCGACGACGGGUAGCCGGCCUGAGAGGGUGACCGGCCACGCUGGGACUGGGAUACGGCCCAGGCUCCUACGGGAGGCAGCAGUGGGGAAUAUUGCACAAUGGGCGCAAGCCUGAUGCAGCAACGCCGCGUGAGGGAUGACGGCCUUCGGGUUGUAAACCUCUUUCAGCACCGACGAAGCGUAAGUGACGGUAGGUGCAGAAGAAGGACCGGCCAACUACGUGCCAGCCGCCGCGGUAA
RNAcentral lists this ribosomal RNA (478 nucleotides) under uncultured bacterium. Its description in RNAcentral is "partial 16S ribosomal RNA". It matches the Rfam family "Bacterial small subunit ribosomal RNA", at positions 28 to 523 of the family's 1533-position model. The record is from RNAcentral.